ACUAUUUGUCAAAGGUUUGAAGAGCCCCAAAUUUACUUAACUCUAUAUAAAAAUUAAGUUGUAAUGAGCUGUUACGAGUAACCUGUACCCAGAAUAGAAACCCAAAGCAGCCCCCUCUGCAUUUGUGUGCGGUCCCUGGACAGAUUCGAGUCAACCAGGCCUGCUUCUGAGCCAUUCCUGUGUAUUUCCUCAGCACCCCCCGGCUUGGCUGCUUCCCCUUCAGGCAGAACACAGUACUGCCUCAGACCCCAGGCACAGGGGGCCUUCCUGAGGUGUUUCACUCAUACAGAGGGCAUUGGGUCCCAUCCUGUCAUUCAUUUCGUCAUCUAAAAUGUAAUCAGUGAGUGUUUGUCUCGAGCCAGAGACAGUGCUGCUGCAGGGGACCCAGCUGGGACCAAGGCAGACUGUGUCUCCCCUCCUGGGAUUUACAGGGUCAUGGCUCUGAAACAUUCUGUAGUGUUCUCUGGACACGAGUUUUCCCUGGAGACCGCUUUCUGCAGGCCUCUUGGUCCUGACUGUGGCUUCUUUUCAGAGCCUGCCAUUCGCUGCAAGGUUGAACACCCCCAUGGGCCCUGGACGAACUGUCGUCAUUAAAGGAGAAGUGAAUGCAAAUGCCAAAAGCUUUAAUGUUGACCUACUAGCAGGAAAAUCAAAGGAUAUUGCUCUACACUUGAACCCACGCCUGAAUAUUAAAGCAUUUGUAAGAAAUUCUUUUCUUCAGGAGUCCUGGGGAGAAGAAGAGAGAAAUAUUACCUCUUUCCCAUUUAGUCCUGGGAUGUACUUUGAGAUGAUAAUUUAUUGUGAUGUUAGAGAAUUCAAGGUUGCAGUAAAUGGCGUACACAGCCUGGAGUACAAACACAGAUUUAAAGAGCUCAGCAGUAUUGACACGCUGGAAAUUAAUGGAGACAUCCACUUACUGGAAGUAAGGAGCUGGUAGCCUACCUACACAGCUGCUACAAAAACCGAAAUACAGAAUGGCUUCUGUGAUACUGGCCUUGCUGAAACGCAUCUCACUGUCAUUCUAUUGUUUAUACUGUUAAAAUGAGCUUGUGCACCGUUAGGUCCUGCUGG
RNAcentral lists this small RNA (1071 nucleotides) under Pongo abelii (Sumatran orangutan). RNAcentral describes it as "retained intron". Lineage: Eukaryota; Metazoa; Chordata; Mammalia; Primates; Hominidae. The record is from RNAcentral.